AUUGAACGCUGGCGGCAGGCCUAACACAUGCAAGUCGAGCGGAUGAAGGGAGCUUGCUCCUGGAUUCAGCGGCGGACGGGUGAGUAAUGCCUAGGAAUCUGCUUGGCAGUGGGGGAUAACGUCCGGAAACGGGCGCUAAUACCGCAUACGUCCUGAGGGAGAAAGUGGGGGAUCUUCGGACCUCACGCUAUCAGAUGAGCCUAGGUCGGAUUAGCUAGUUGGUGGGGUAAAGGCCUACCAAGGCGACGAUCCGUAACUGGUCUGAGAGGAUGAUCAGUCACACUGGAACUGAGACACGGUCCAGACUCCUACGGGAGGCAGCAGUGGGGAAUAUUGGACAAUGGGCGAAAGCCUGAUCCAGCCAUGCCGCGUGUGUGAAGAAGGUCUUCGGAUUGUAAAGCACUUUAAGUUGGGAGGAAGGGCAGUAAGUUAAUACCUUGCUGUUUUGACGUUACCAACAGAAUAAGCACCGGCUAACUUCGUG
RNAcentral lists this ribosomal RNA (484 nucleotides) under uncultured bacterium. Its description in RNAcentral is "partial 16S ribosomal RNA". It matches the Rfam family "Bacterial small subunit ribosomal RNA", at positions 30 to 507 of the family's 1533-position model. The record is from RNAcentral.